RNAcentral lists this long non-coding RNA (1240 nucleotides) under Homo sapiens (human). RNAcentral describes it as "non-protein coding lnc-F13A1-3:20". The record is from RNAcentral. Lineage: Eukaryota; Metazoa; Chordata; Mammalia; Primates; Hominidae.
ACAGGGUGACCCGCUGGAAGCCACAGAGGGAAGAUAACCUGGAGGGAAAACUAGAGCUGAAAAGCUGCAGCUGGGAUUGAAGGCUGGAGGCUGGAGCAGUGAGCCCUUCUGUUCUGAGUAGGGCUGGGCUCUCCCAGCAAAGGGCCUGUGUCACCAGCAGCGACCGCUCAGGGGAGCCUUGGUCGCUGAAUGGCUCUUUGGGUGGUGUGGUCUCCCUCUGGCCAGACCUACAGAGUGGCCCUCCAGCACCCAGCCUUGCUGAGUCCCUGCAGGCCUGCUCUGAGGGAAGGGGCUGAUAGUUCAGACGUUCAGAGAAGGUGCCUGGUGGCUCCGGAACUGAGCCCUUGGACAGGAGGCGUUGCAGGUGCCGGGCAUUGGAGGGACCUCACGCUCCGCGUUUCCUUCCCUAGCAGAGCUCAAACGACCUGCUGCCGCAUCGGGCAUUGUUCUCUCCCUCCUCACCCAGAGGAAAGUCCCCAUGGCCCAUUUUCUGAGCUGUGCUUUUCCACUCUUUCGUAAUCUAUUAUUGUGACCUUGAGAUGCAGAGAGAGAAGGCUUUGGCAGGACGCACUGCCUUUGGAACCAGAGCUGCUGCUAUCUGUGCCCUGGACCACAUGCUCCAUGGCCAUGGCCGUGCCAGUCCUACUGGUUCCUCUGCAACCGCCACCCAAGUCAGCGCCUGCAGGAGCGUGGACACUGAGAGGACUGGGACAGCGAGGAAAGUGUGCUUACAGAAGGGCCGUGUGUGUGUGUGUGUGUGUGUGUGUGUGUGUGUGUGUUAGAGAUGCACAGAGGUACAGACACAGGAAAGAAAGAGACCAAGAGAAUCUGCCUUUAAAGUAGACUUCAAGUUAUUUGUUUCUAGGACUGUACCUGAUAGAUUUGAUUCUCACCAAACUCAGUUGCAAAAACUCUAUCCAGGGAAAGGAAUCUGCAAGCCGGAGGCACGGAGCCGUGGGGACUCAGGGGCAGGAGGACUGUGGUCACCCUUGGGUCCCCACACUCGUGUCCCCGUUCCCUGCAGCCCCGUUCUUCUCUCUGUCUUCACCCUGCUUUGCGUGGGCAGAUGCUCCUGCCAAAGCUUACUUCAUCAGAUGAAAUGAAGGGGAAUCUGAUUUGCCACUAAUUGGACUUAGUGUAGGCAAUUAGGGUUAAGCUGCGAUGAGGGAACCACCAGACGCUGGGAUUUUCAUCACAGUCCUGAGAAAUUCUUCCAGAAUUUAAGUGGUUGCAAAUCACG